AUCGCCGAGCACCUUAAGUCUCAAGGU
This 27-nucleotide non-coding RNA is filed under the name Rattus norvegicus (Norway rat). Lineage: Eukaryota; Metazoa; Chordata; Mammalia; Rodentia; Muridae. The record is from RNAcentral.